Molecule: non-coding RNA, 741 nt
Filed under: Pan troglodytes (chimpanzee)
Lineage: Eukaryota; Metazoa; Chordata; Mammalia; Primates; Hominidae
Source: RNAcentral
GAAAACACAGCAAAUGAAUCAAACGGACCAGGUAGCAGGCAAGAGUGUGGUUAUCGUUGGACCAGGAUUCAGGAUCUGACCGAGUAGCUGACUCUUAAUCCAGUUUGUGUUGAUCACCAGGAGGAUCUGGACCUCAGUGUUAUCACAUCUAAAGGUGAUAUGCCAACUCCACCUUUGCCUUCCACCAUGUUUGGAAGCUCCCUGAGGCCUCACCAGGAGCAGAUGCUCGUCCCAUGCUUCCUAUAAGCCUGCAGAACUGUGAGCCAUAAUAAACUGUGAAUUAUAAAUUGCCUUUAUAGCAAUGCAAAUGGACCAGUACAGAUGGGAUGCUGGGAAGACAGUUGUUCCACCUUCAGUAAAGUCCAUGGAACACAGUUGUGACUAUAUUCUAGGCCAGCCAAGAUGCUUGUACUCAGAAAGGAGUGAUCUCAGGACCAUAAGAAAGUGAAAAAAUAAAAAUAAGAAAACAAAGAAGGGAUUGUCAAUGAAUCAGAAUUCAUCAAGGUCAAAGUCUUAGGAAAUUCCUUCAUGAGGAAGUCUAGGGGGGCUAUGGAAAUGAAAAUUUUUAAACAAAUAGGUAUGUGGUGCUGGCAGGAAUAAAUUAUGGACUUAUGAAUAUAACAUAAGAUUCUUUAUUACCUGGUCUCACCCGUCUUUCCACCUCUGCCCCCCUUCUUGCCCGACUCUGUGUAUCACCCAUAAUAAACUACUUACAGCUUCCUAGUGUUAAAUUUACCCUAA